GCCUGGAUAGCUCAGUGGGUUAGAGCGUGGUGCUGGUAACACCAAGGUUGCAGGUUCGAUCCCUGUAUGGGUCAGUUGCA
Molecule: transfer RNA, 80 nt
Filed under: Podarcis lilfordi (Lilford's wall lizard)
Lineage: Eukaryota; Metazoa; Chordata; Lepidosauria; Squamata; Lacertidae
Description: tRNA.Thr
Rfam family: tRNA (bases 8-66)
About the family: Transfer RNA (tRNA) molecules are approximately 80 nucleotides in length.
Source: RNAcentral